GACGAACGCUGGCGGCGUGCCUAAUACAUGCAAGUCGAACGAACCGCGACUAAGUGCUUGCACUAAGUCAAGGUGAGUGGCGAACGGGUGAGUAACACGUGGGUAACCUACCUCAUAGUGGGGGAUAACAGUCGGAAACGACUGCUAAUACCGCAUAGGACAUAGGAUCACAUGAUCCAGUGAGGAAAGGUGGCGCAAGCUAUCGCUAAGAGAUGGACCCGCGGUGCAUUAGCUAGUUGGUAGGGUAAAGGCCUACCAAGGCGAUGAUGCAUAGCCGACCUGAGAGGGUGAUCGGCCACAUUGGGACUGAGACACGGCCCAAACUCCUACGGGAGGCAGCAGUAGGGAAUCUUCCGCAAUGGACGCAAGUCUGACGGAGCAACGCCGCGUGAGUGAAGAAGGUCUUCGGAUCGUAAAGCUCUGUUGUUAGAGAAGAACAGCGCAUAGAGUAACUGCUAUGCGUGUGACGGUAUCUAACCAGAAAGCCACGGCCAACUACGUG
RNAcentral lists this ribosomal RNA (502 nucleotides) under uncultured bacterium. RNAcentral's name for it is "partial 16S ribosomal RNA". It matches the Rfam family "Bacterial small subunit ribosomal RNA", at positions 28 to 507 of the family's 1533-position model. The record is from RNAcentral.